CAGUAGCCGCGGGAAUACGAAGGGGGCUAGCGUUGUUCGGAAUCACUGGGCGUAAAGGGUGCGUAGGCGGAUUCUUAAGUCAGGGGUGAAAUCCCGAGGCUCAACCUCGGAACUGCCUUUGAUACUGGGGAUCUUGAGUCCGGAAGAGGUGAGUGGAACUGCGAGUGUAGAGGUGAAAUUCGUAGAUAUUCGCAAGAACACCGGUGGCGAAGGCGGCUCACUGGUCCGGAACUGACGCUGAGGCGCGAAAGCGUGGGGAGCAAACAGGAUUAGAUACCCCAGUAGUCCUGUCUCUUAUACA
Molecule: ribosomal RNA, 301 nt
Filed under: uncultured bacterium
Lineage: Bacteria
Description: partial 16S ribosomal RNA
Rfam family: Bacterial small subunit ribosomal RNA
Source: RNAcentral